Molecule: ribosomal RNA, 211 nt
Filed under: uncultured bacterium
Lineage: Bacteria
Description: partial 16S ribosomal RNA
Rfam family: Bacterial small subunit ribosomal RNA
Source: RNAcentral
UGCGUAGGUGGUUUGAUAAGUUGGGUGUGAAAGUCCUGAGCUUAACUUGGGGAUUGCGCUUAAUACUGUUGAGCUAGAGUACUGUAGAGGAAGGUGGAAUUUCCAGUGUAGCGGUGAAAUGCGUAGAUAUUGGAAGGAACAUCAGUGGCGAAGGCGACUUUCUGGACAGAUACUGACACUGAGGCACGAAAGCGAUGGGGAAGGACAAACA